This 253-nucleotide ribosomal RNA is filed under the name uncultured bacterium. RNAcentral describes it as "partial 16S ribosomal RNA". It matches the Rfam family "Bacterial small subunit ribosomal RNA", at positions 524 to 776 of the family's 1533-position model. The record is from RNAcentral.
UACGUAGGGCGCAAGCGUUGUCCGGAAUUAUUGGGCGUAAAGAGCUCGUAGGCGGUCUGUCGCGUCCGUUGUGAAAACUCGAGGCUCAACCUCGGGCUUGCAGUGGAUACGGGCAGACUAGAGUGCGGUAGGGGAGACUGGAAUUCCUGGUGUAGCGGUGGAAUGCGCAGAUAUCAGGAGGAACACCGAUGGCGAAGGCAGGUCUCUGGGCCGCAACUGACGCUGAGGAGCGAAAGCAUGGGGAGCGAACGGG